GGGGCCGACUGGAUUUGACAGCGGGCCGGACGUAUGAGUAAGCAUGCAGUGCGGGCGUGAACGGGCACUUAAAUCUCGGUUCUCAACAAUUUAACUGGCAACAACAGCUAUGCUCUCGCUGCCUAACCGAAGUACAGUAGGUUAGCUUCAUCCCCGCUCCAGGAGUAGGGACGAGACGUCGCCCAAGCGCCCUUUUCCCGAGGCGGCUUGAACCGGCGGCGCAGAUAAAUCGGGAAUAGCCAGCGGCCCGUCUCCGGCCUAAGGCGAAGCUCCUAUGGAGACUAAGGCAGAGGUUGGUGGCUCUGGUCUUGCCGCUGCACGAAAAACCAGUCAGAGAUAAGCAUGUAGAAAGCUUGUGCUUUCCCCGUUUGGACGAGGGUUCGAUUCCCUCCGGCUCCACAU
This 402-nucleotide transfer-messenger RNA is filed under the name Bacteroidaceae. RNAcentral's name for it is "Alloprevotella sp018066245 Standard tmRNA". It matches the Rfam family "transfer-messenger RNA". Rfam says of the family: Bacterial tmRNA, also known as 10Sa RNA or SsrA, is named for its dual tRNA and mRNA-like properties. Its role is to liberate the mRNA from a stalled ribosome. RNAcentral also lists the same sequence under 1 other name. The record is from RNAcentral. Lineage: Bacteria; Pseudomonadati; Bacteroidota; Bacteroidia; Bacteroidales.